UACGGGGGGGGCAAGCGUUGUUCGGAAUUACUGGGCGUAAAGAGCUCGUAGGCGGCCAACUAAGUCAGACGUGAAAUCCCUCGGCUUAACCGGGGAACUGCGUCUGAUACUGGAUGGCUUGAGGUUGGGAGAGGGAUGCGGAAUUCCAGGUGUAGCGGUGAAAUGCGUAGAUACCUGGAGGAACACCGGUGGCGAAGGCGGCAUCCUGGACCAAAUCUGACGCUGAGGAGCGAAAGCCAGGGGAGCAAACGGG
This 253-nucleotide ribosomal RNA is filed under the name uncultured bacterium. RNAcentral describes it as "partial 16S ribosomal RNA". It matches the Rfam family "Bacterial small subunit ribosomal RNA", at positions 524 to 776 of the family's 1533-position model. The record is from RNAcentral.